AAACUUUCAACAACGGAUCUCUUGGUUCCGGCAUCGAUGAAGAACGCAGCGAACUGCGAUAAGUAGUGUGAAUUGCAGAAUUCAGUGAAUCAUCGAGUCUUUGAACGCACAUUGCGCCCCCUGGCAUUCCGGGGGGCAUUCCUGUCCGAGCGUCAUU
Molecule: ribosomal RNA, 157 nt
Filed under: Aspergillus chlamydosporus
Lineage: Eukaryota; Fungi; Ascomycota; Eurotiomycetes; Eurotiales; Aspergillaceae
Description: 5.8S ribosomal RNA
Rfam family: 5.8S ribosomal RNA
About the family: 5.8S ribosomal RNA (5.8S rRNA) is a component of the large subunit of the eukaryotic ribosome.
Source: RNAcentral